UGGUAACUCCCAACCCCUGUGACAUACCUAUACGUUGCCUCGGCGGAUCAGCCCGCGCCCCGUAAAAAGGGACGGCCCGCCCGAGGACCCCUAAACUCUGUUUUUAGUGGAACUUCUGAGUAAAACAAACAAAUAAAUCAAAACUUUCAACAACGGAUCUCUUGGUUCUGGCAUCGAUGAAGAACGCAGCAAAAUGCGAUAAGUAAUGUGAAUUGCAGAAUUCAGUGAAUCAUCGAAUCUUUGAACGCACAUUGCGCCCGCCAGUAUUCUGGCGGGCAUGCCUGUUCGAGCGUCAUUUCAACCCUCAAGCUCAGCUUGGUGUUGGGACUCGCGGUAACCCGCGUUCCCCAAAUCGAUUGGCGGUCACGUCGAGCUUCCAUAGCGUAGUAAUCAUACACCUCGUUACUGGUAAUCGUCGCGGCCACGCCGUAAAACCCCAACUUCUGAAUGUUGACCUCGGAUCAGGUAGGAAUACCCGCUGAACUUAAGCAUAUCAAUAAGCGGAGGA
RNAcentral lists this ribosomal RNA (508 nucleotides) under Fusarium chlamydosporum. RNAcentral's name for it is "eukaryotic LSU rRNA". The stretch from base 142 to 295 matches the Rfam family "5.8S ribosomal RNA". The record is from RNAcentral. Lineage: Eukaryota; Fungi; Ascomycota; Sordariomycetes; Hypocreales; Nectriaceae.